UGGGAAUUUUGGACGAAUGGGCGAAAGCCUGAUCCAGCAAUGCCGCGUGUGUGAAGAAGGCCUUCGGGUUGUAAAGCACUUUUGUCCGGAAAGAAAUCCUUGGCUCUAAUACAGUCGGGGGAUGACGGUACCGGAAGAAUAAGCACCGGCUAACUACGUGCCAGCAGCCGCGGUAAUACGUAGGGUGCAAGCGUUAAUCGGAAUUACUGGGCGUAAAGCGUGCGCAGGCGGUUUGCUAAGACCGAUGUGAAAUCCCCGGGCUCAACCUGGGAACUGCAUUGGUGACUGGCAGGCUAGAGUAUGGCAGAGGGGGGUAGAAUUCCACGUGUAGCAGUGAAAUGCGUAGAGAUGUGGAGGAAUACCGAUGGCGAAGGCAGCCCCCUGGGCCAAUACUGACACUCAUGCACGAAAGCGUGGGGAGCAAACAGGAUUAGAUACCCUGGUAGUCCACGCCCUAAACGAUGUCAACUAGUUGUUGGGGAUUCAUUUCCUUAGUAACGUAGCUAACGCGUGAAGUUGACCGCCUGGGGAGUACGGUCGCAAGAUU
RNAcentral lists this ribosomal RNA (547 nucleotides) under uncultured bacterium. Its description in RNAcentral is "partial 16S ribosomal RNA". It matches the Rfam family "Bacterial small subunit ribosomal RNA", at positions 356 to 895 of the family's 1533-position model. The record is from RNAcentral.